RNAcentral lists this ribosomal RNA (497 nucleotides) under uncultured bacterium. RNAcentral's name for it is "partial 16S ribosomal RNA". It matches the Rfam family "Bacterial small subunit ribosomal RNA", at positions 28 to 507 of the family's 1533-position model. The record is from RNAcentral.
GAUGAACGCUGGCGGCGUGCCUAAUACAUGCAAGUCGAGCGAACGGACGAGAAGCUUGCUUUUCUGAUGUUAGCGGCGGACGGGUGAGUAACACGUGGAUAACCUACCUAUAAGACUGGGAUAACUUCGGGAAACCGGAGCUAAUACCGGAUAAUAUUUUGAACCGCAUGGUUCAAAAGUGAAAGACGGUCUUGCUGUCACCUAUAGAUGGAUCCGCGCUGCAUUAGCUAGUUGGUAAGGUACCGGCUUACCAAGGCAACGAUGCAUAGCCGACCUGAGAGGGUGAUCGGCCACACUGGAACUGAGACACGGUCCAGACUCCUACGGGAGGCAGCAGUAGGGAAUCUUCCGCAAUGGGCGAAAGCCUGACGGAGCAACGCCGCGUGAGUGAUGAAGGUCUUCGGAUCGUAAAACUCUGUUAUUAGGGAAGAACAUAUGUGUAAGUAACUGUGCACAUCUUGACGGUACCUAAUCAGAAAGCCACGGCUAACUACGUG